Molecule: ribosomal RNA, 2621 nt
Filed under: Salmonella enterica
Lineage: Bacteria; Pseudomonadati; Pseudomonadota; Gammaproteobacteria; Enterobacterales; Enterobacteriaceae
Also listed under: 2 other names
Description: partial 23S ribosomal RNA
Rfam family: Bacterial large subunit ribosomal RNA
Source: RNAcentral
AAUCCAUAGGUUAAUGAGGCGAACCGGGGGAACUGAAACAUCUAAGUACCCCGAGGAAAAGAAAUCAACCGAGAUUCCCCCAGUAGCGGCGAGCGAACGGGGAGGAGCCCAGAGCCUGAAUCAGCAUGUGUGUUAGUGGAAGCGUCUGGAAAGGCGCGCGAUACAGGGUGACAGCCCCGUACACAAAAGCGCAUGUGCUGUGAGCUCGAUGAGUAGGGCGGGACACGUGGUAUCCUGUCUGAAUAUGGGGGGACCAUCCUCCAAGGCUAAAUACUCCUGACUGACCGAUAGUGAACCAGUACCGUGAGGGAAAGGCGAAAAGAACCCCGGCGAGGGGAGUGAAAAAGAACCUGAAACCGUGUACGUACAAGCAGUGGGAGCACAGGUUUACCUGUGUGACUGCGUACCUUUUGUAUAAUGGGUCAGCGACUUAUAUUCUGUAGCAAGGUUAACCGAAUAGGGGAGCCGGAGGGAAACCGAGUCUUAAUUGGGCGUUAAGUUGCAGGGUAUAGACCCGAAACCCGGUGAUCUAGCCAUGGGCAGGUUGAAGGUUGGGUAACACUAACUGGAGGACCGAACCGACUAAUGUUGAAAAAUUAGCGGAUGACCUGUGGCUGGGGGUGAAAGGCCAAUCAAACCGGGAGAUAGCUGGUUCUCCCCGAAAGCUAUUUAGGUAGCGCCUCGUGAAUUCAUCUCCGGGGGUAGAGCACUGUUUCGGCUAGGGGGCCAUCCCGGCUUACCAACCCGAUGCAAACUGCGAAUACCGGAGAAUGUUAUCACGGGAGACACACGGCGGGUGCUAACGUCCGUCGUGAAGAGGGAAACAACCCAGACCGCCAGCUAAGGUCCCAAAGUCAUGGUUAAGUGGGAAACGAUGUGGGAAGGCCCAGACAGCCAGGAUGUUGGCUUAGAAGCAGCCAUCAUUUAAAGAAAGCGUAAUAGCUCACUGGUCGAGUCGGCCUGCGCGGAAGAUGUAACGGGGCUAAACCAUGCACCGAAGCUGCGGCAGCGACACUGUGUGUUGUUGGGUAGGGGAGCGUUCUGUAAGCCUGUGAAGGUGUGUCGUGAGGCAUGCUGGAGGUAUCAGAAGUGCGAAUGCUGACAUAAGUAACGAUAAAGCGGGUGAAAAGCCCGCUCGCCGGAAGACCAAGGGUUCCUGUCCAACGUUAAUCGGGGCAGGGUGAGUCGACCCCUAAGGCGAGGCCGAAAGGCGUAGUCGAUGGGAAACGGGUUAAUAUUCCCGUACUUGGUGUUACUGCGAAGGGGGGACGGAGAAGGCUAUGUUGGCCGGGCGACGGUUGUCCCGGUUUAAGCGUGUAGGUGUGUGUUCCAGGUAAAUCCGGUUCACUUUAACACUGAGGCGUGACGACGAGGCACUACGGUGCUGAAGCAACAAAUGCCCUGCUUCCAGGAAAAGCCUCUAAGCAUCAGGUAACAUCAAAUCGUACCCCAAACCGACACAGGUGGUCAGGUAGAGAAUACCAAGGCGCUUGAGAGAACUCGGGUGAAGGAACUAGGCAAAAUGGUGCCGUAACUUCGGGAGAAGGCACGCUGACACGUAGGUGAAGUGAUUUACUCAUGGAGCUGAAGUCAGUCGAAGAUACCAGCUGGCUGCAACUGUUUAUUAAAAACACAGCACUGUGCAAACACGAAAGUGGACGUAUACGGUGUGACGCCUGCCCGGUGCCGGAAGGUUAAUUGAUGGGGUCAGCGCAAGCGAAGCUCCUGAUCGAAGCCCCGGUAAACGGCGGCCGUAACUAUAACGGUCCUAAGGUAGCGAAAUUCCUUGUCGGGUAAGUUCCGACCUGCACGAAUGGCGUAAUGAUGGCCAGGCUGUCUCCACCCGAGACUCAGUGAAAUUGAACUCGCUGUGAAGAUGCAGUGUACCCGCGGCAAGACGGAAAGACCCCGUGAACCUUUACUAUAGCUUGACACUGAACAUUGAGCCUUGAUGUGUAGGAUAGGUGGGAGGCUUUGAAGUGUGGACGCCAGUCUGCAUGGAGCCGACCUUGAAAUACCACCCUUUAAUGUUUGAUGUUCUAACGUGGACCCGUUACCCGGGUUGCGGACAGUGUCUGGUGGGUAGUUUGACUGGGGCGGUCUCCUCCUAAAGAGUAACGGAGGAGCACGAAGGUUGGCUAAUCCUGGUCGGACAUCAGGAGGUUAGUGCAAUGGCAUAAGCCAGCUUGACUGCGAGCGUGACGGCGCGAGCAGGUGCGAAAGCAGGUCAUAGUGAUCCGGUGGUUCUGAAUGGAAGGGCCAUCGCUCAACGGAUAAAAGGUACUCCGGGGAUAACAGGCUGAUACCGCCCAAGAGUUCAUAUCGACGGCGGUGUUUGGCACCUCGAUGUCGGCUCAUCACAUCCUGGGGCUGAAGUAGGUCCCAAGGGUAUGGCUGUUCGCCAUUUAAAGUGGUACGCGAGCUGGGUUUAGAACGUCGUGAGACAGUUCGGUCCCUAUCUGCCGUGGGCGCUGGAGAACUGAGGGGGGCUGCUCCUAGUACGAGAGGACCGGAGUGGACGCAUCACUGGUGUUCGGGUUGUCAUGCCAAUGGCACUGCCCGGUAGCUAAAUGCGGAAGAGAUAAGUGCUGAAAGCAUCUAAGCACGAAACUUGCCCCGAG